GAAAUGCGAUAAUUAAUGUGAAUUGAAGAAUUCAGUGAAUCAUCGAGUCUUUGAACGCACAUUGCGCCCCCUGGUAUUCCGGGGGGCAUGCCUGUCCGAGCGUCAUUGCUGCCCUCAAGCACGGCUUGUGUGUUGGGCUUCCGUCCCUGGCAACGGGGACGGGCCCAAAAGGCAGUGGCGGCACCAUGUCUGGUCCUCGAGCGUAUGGGGCUUUGUCACCCGCUCCCGUAGGUCCAGCUGGCAGCUAGCCUCGCAACCAAUCUUUUUCACCAGGUUGACCUCGGAUCAGGUAGGGAUACCCGCUGAACUUAAGC
This 314-nucleotide unclassified non-coding RNA is filed under the name plant metagenome. Its description in RNAcentral is "partial contains 5.8S ribosomal RNA, internal transcribed spacer 2, and large subunit ribosomal RNA". The stretch from base 1 to 105 matches the Rfam family "5.8S ribosomal RNA", at positions 50 to 154 of the family's 154-position model. The record is from RNAcentral.